This 1424-nucleotide long non-coding RNA is filed under the name Notechis scutatus (mainland tiger snake). RNAcentral's name for it is "lncRNA (ENSNSUG00000004367.1)". Lineage: Eukaryota; Metazoa; Chordata; Lepidosauria; Squamata; Elapidae. The record is from RNAcentral.
UGUACUUGGGAAAGAUUCAAGCAUGUUGUCCUGAAUUUGUCCAGGAACUUGCCACAUACAGGGAAACUGCCAUUGCCACCCAUAAUUCCUGCUUUGUAGUUUACCAUGUGAUUAUUGCUCCAGGUGAUUGUAGAGGGAGGAAGCAGGAGGGGGAAAGGAGGAAGUUGCCAGCCUUGCUCAGACAAACUGCCUUCCCACUUGUGCAGGUGCAAACCCAAGCAGCGUUCCUGCUGGCGAUGGAGCUGGCGAGACUGCUUGGCCUGGAAGAAACGAAGAUGGCGACGGAGCAGGAGAAGCACAUGCUGAGGCUGCUCAUCCCUCUCGCUAAACUUUAUACUGCAAAACAGGUCACACUCAGUUUGAUACCAUGGGAUAAGCCGUGGUGUCCCUGACUGGCAAAGAGGGCACCUCUACAGGGCAGGUGUUCAUAGGAGCUGAGGGGAGGAAAAAUCUGCGCAGGCUGUUCUAUUUCUGACCGGGUGUUUGGCCAUUGAGUCUCUUGGUUCAAAGAAUUGGGAAUCAUUGUCAGCCCCUCUUCCCCUAACAACGUUUAUUCAAAGGCAUCAGUUUUUGUCACAAACUUAUGAAGGCAGGUGCGUUUGAAUGAAAUGGGUUGGUCAGAAGAGGAGCUAAUGGGUUCCUGGUUAUUUGGUUUGGCUGAAGCCCAUAGGCAGACAGACCCCUGAAUCUUCACGUAAACGUGGCUGACGUGUCUUUCCUGCCUUUAAAGAUCAAAUGCACAAAACAAAAACAUUCAAACAUUUACGUAUCUGGUGGGCUGUUGUUUGUGCUUCUCCUAGCCUGGCAUAUUUGUCGGGUGUAAACAAGUCAGUUUGUAUUUCAGGCUAUCGCUGUGGCCUCAGAAGGCCUGGAGUGUUUCGGAGGACAGGGCUUCAUGGAAGACACAGAACUGCCUGUUGUUCUUCGGGAUAUCCAGGCGCUAUCAAUCUGGGAGGGAACCACGAACAUCCUGUGCCUGGAUGUUCUGCGCUGCAUUUUCAAGAGCCAAGGAAAAGUGCUGGAUGUCUUUUUCUCCACUGCCCAGGUAAGCACCAAUAAAUGAGUUUCUCACACUAACUAUAAAUGUUAAAAUUUCAAAUGCACCUCGUAGGAGCAAUAGGCUGUCAGCCUCAUGUAAAAUGAGGUGGUCCUUGUUGACAUUGAUGUGCUGCUAUUGCCACUUCAGAACUCACUUCGAUGCAGUUGGCAGUCUCUUUCAUCUUGUUCAUAGUUAACAGAAAUUGGUUUAUGAGAGAAAUUGGUUUUUUAAGUAGCACAGUCCAAAUUUACUGCCACUACUUAUGGUAUUUUGCCUACAGUCAGGGUGAAAAAUAUAACCUUCAUCUGCCAUAGUAGAAACCAGUCCAAGGGUCUUAAAUCUAAAGCACAGGCAGACCCAGAGACUUCUAAAAAUGACAAUUCCA